AAGUCGUAACAAGGUUUCCGUAGGUGAACCUGCGGAAGGAUCAUUAAAGAGUGAAGGGUCCCAACCGGCCCGACCUCCAACCCUCUGUCGUUAAAACAAACACCGUUGCUUUGGCGGGACCGCGGGCCUCACGGCCUGCUGCCGGUCUUCGGCCCGGCACGCGCCCGCCAGAGUCCAACCAAAACUCUCGUUCAAACACAUCGUCUGAGUAAAUUGAUAAAUCAAUCAAAACUUUCAACAACGGAUCUCUUGGUUCUG
Molecule: unclassified non-coding RNA, 258 nt
Filed under: Dothideomycetes sp.
Lineage: Eukaryota; Fungi; Ascomycota; Dothideomycetes
Description: partial contains small subunit ribosomal RNA, internal transcribed spacer 1, and 5.8S ribosomal RNA
Rfam family: Eukaryotic small subunit ribosomal RNA (bases 1-46)
Source: RNAcentral